UUCAAGAAGAGCAGAGCAACAUUGUCAGUGACCGAACAGUGGAAGAUGAGAAAUUGGAGAAAAAGCUUGGACCCCUGGGAUUGACUGUUAAUGACAUUAAGCCAGAUGGGCACUGCCUCUAUAGAGCUGUUGAGGAUCAGCUGGCUCACCUGUCAGGAGGUGCUUCUCCUUAUAAUUACCAACAGCUUCGACAAAUGGUGGCUGCCUAUAUGAGAGAUCAUUCAUCUGAUUUCCUACCUUUUUAUCUUUCUGAAAAUAUGAUAGGUGAAGAUUCUGCUCAAUCACAAGUAGAGAGAUUUGAGAACUACUGUAAAGAAGUUGAGUCAACC
RNAcentral lists this long non-coding RNA (329 nucleotides) under Citrus maxima (pomelo). RNAcentral's name for it is "long non-coding RNA (CMAX_LNC002592)". Lineage: Eukaryota; Viridiplantae; Streptophyta; Magnoliopsida; Sapindales; Rutaceae. The record is from RNAcentral.